AAGUAGCUAGAGAGAAAAAAUCAAGAGUGAGAAAGUUCUUAGUUUUUCAUAAAAUUCUUAGUUUUCAAAGUUUGUUAGUUCUUCAUAAAAAAAAAAGAGUGUAUAAAAAAGUCUAUAUUAAUUUCUUAGUUCUUCAUUUUUCGGUAGCUGUCAAGUUUUCAGGGGACUCCUGAAAAGGAAACCCCACUUCUUCCUUAAAACAUGUUACAUAUAUAUGAAGAAUUGGAGACAUUAAUUUAGGUAUCAAUGACUAUAUAAUUGGUAACUUGUAGCUUUCAAGAAUAGGAUAUUCUAUGAGUUCACAUAUGAUAGUUUAUCAUUGAACAAGAAGAGUUAAAAAAAACGACAACAUUUGUUGAUGGAGUUCAAGCUAAAUUAUGAUAAGUAGGUGUUUCUUUGUCUUAAUAUGCUUUUCUGUUUGGAAUAGAACUACCGAAAGGUGCCAUGUUACUGGAGCUUAACUUAGCAUGAUUCAAAUUGUAGCACGAUUUCUUCUAUAUAUACACAUAUAAGGGCAUAAGAUAAUUUAUUAUAAUAGAACUCGUAGAUUAUUAAUAUGUGGAUUGAUAAUUCAUGAUCAGUAUUAUGCUAACGCUUAUAUUUAUUAUCAUUAUCUAUUAUUGAUUU
This is a long non-coding RNA of Capsicum annuum, 627 nucleotides long. RefSeq lists it as uncharacterized. NCBI's taxonomy places the organism in Eukaryota, Viridiplantae, Streptophyta, Magnoliopsida, Solanales, Solanaceae. The transcript has 2 exons. The record is from RefSeq and is a predicted model, not a curated record.